This 253-nucleotide ribosomal RNA is filed under the name uncultured bacterium. RNAcentral's name for it is "partial 16S ribosomal RNA". It matches the Rfam family "Bacterial small subunit ribosomal RNA", at positions 524 to 776 of the family's 1533-position model. The record is from RNAcentral.
GACGUAGGUGACAAGCGUUGUCCGGAUUUACUGGGCGUAAAGAGCGCGCAGGCGGUCGAUCAAGUCGAGUGUGAAAGCCCCCGGCUCAACUGGGGAGGGUCAUUCGAUACUGAUCGACUCGAAGGCAGGAGAGGGUAGUGGAAUUCCCGGUGUAGUGGUGAAAUGCGUAGAUAUCGGGAGGAACACCAGUGGCGAAGGCGACUACCUGGCCUGUUCUUGACGCUGAGGCGCGAAAGCUAGGGGAGCAAACGGG